CGUCUAUAUACGUAUAGCAUAUCAAUAAGCGGAGGAAAAGAAACUAACUAGGAUUCCCUCAGUAACGGCGAGUGAAGCGGGAAGAGCUUAAAUUUGAAAUCUUCAAGGUUCUACCUUGACGAAUUGUAGUUUAAAGAAGUGUUUUCUGUUGGAGUUUUGGUAAAAGUUCUUUGGAAUAGGACAUCACAGAGGGUGAGAAUCCCGUAUUUGACCAUUAUUUCCAACUUUGUGAUACACUUUCAAAGAGUCGGAUUGUUUGGGAAUGCAGUCCAAAAUGGGUGGUAAAUUUCAUCUAAAGCUAAAUAUUGGCGAGAGACCGAUAGCGAACAAGUUCCGUGAGGGAAAGAUGAAAAGAACUUUGAAAAGAGAGUUAAACAGUACGUGAAAUUGUCAAAAGGGAAGCGUUUGACACAAGUGUUGUUUUCUCGAAAAUCAAUUAAAAAUGACCGGAUUUUGUGUUGUAUUGACUUUAUCAGCUUUCUGCACUUUUUUCCUGUCUUUUUUAAUGCACUUUUCGUUUAACAAGUCAACAUCAAUUUCUUUUGUUGUAAAAGGGUCAUUGGAAGGUGGCUUUCUUUUCGGAGAAAGUGUUUAUAGCCUUGUACCUCUGCAAUCGGAGAGAUUGAGGUCUGCAGCGCAGAUCCUUCGGGGUUAGAUACAUUUGUGCUAAGUUAUAGUCUUUUCAUAGACAACUUGUUGACUAUGAUUAAGUCUUGUAGCUUACUCGCUUAUGCUAUUUUACCUACGCUUAGGAUGUUGAUAGUCACAGCGUGUAC
Molecule: ribosomal RNA, 776 nt
Filed under: uncultured Neocallimastigales
Lineage: Eukaryota; Fungi; Neocallimastigomycota; Neocallimastigomycetes; Neocallimastigales
Description: partial large subunit ribosomal RNA
Rfam family: Eukaryotic large subunit ribosomal RNA
Source: RNAcentral